This 2454-nucleotide long non-coding RNA is filed under the name Homo sapiens (human). RNAcentral describes it as "HSALNT0292342". Lineage: Eukaryota; Metazoa; Chordata; Mammalia; Primates; Hominidae. The record is from RNAcentral.
UUCAGGCUUUGUUUUUUCUGCUGAGACAGGCAUAGAGGCUGGAGCUCACAGUCUGACAUUCUCCCCUGUGCUGUGGAGCCAGGCAGAUAAUAUUAUGUGUGGGUUAUGCCCAGUUUCCCAUCCUCCCACCUCAUAUUCUGGAGAAGUAAUGACAUCUCUUUUCCUCCUGCUCAAGAAGGCAUUCUGUAGGGUUAUUUCUGGACACAGUAAUCCUUCAGCAAUACAAUUACCAAGUUAUUCAACAUGGAAGGCUUUGCCAAGACAGUGGUGGCUGGGAUUUGACCCUCUAAGUGUGAGCUUCAGUUCUACAUGUUGGAAUAGAUCAUCUGGACCCUCUGGAUUCUGGUCCUGUACUGACCUUCAAGCUGUCUCUUUCAGCUUUCUGUGCUGAGGCAGAAAAGAGGAAAGCUGGACCACACCCAGCCAGGACUACACGUGCAGGUAGUACACAGGAAUUGGGAAUGUGCGUUUGGGCUGGCAGUAUUGCUCUGUGUGGUUGGCAGAAGGAGGCACCAUUCACAUUGAAAACUAGGAAUACGCAGGAGCUAUUGUUGGGUUACCAUUCCAGAAGUAGUUUCCAUCCAUGGUGCUUCCUCUGUCCAGGAAACCUCCCCAAAGAGGCCUACGCCCUCCCUUACUUGCAGUACUCCAUAGCAGAGCAGGAGUCUACUCAGUCCACCCUGGCGUCUGAAAAUGCACAUGUGCUCACACCUAAAGCACAAGAAGCACAAAAACAAUCCAGUUAGAAACACUUGUCACUCAUAUUCUCACCAUUCUGAUAAUAACCAUUGAUAAUUGUAGAUAAAAGUCACAAAUUUACCAACUUAGUGAGAGAUUAUAACACACUAUCAGUAUUUGAUAGAUCAAACUAACAAAAAUUAAGAAGGAUAGAGAAGAUGUGAACAAAAUUAACAAGCUGAUUUUAUAUACAGUGGAUCCAACAAUUUAAAAAAUUUAUUUUCUGUCCACAAGAAGCAUCUAGGAAAUACAGCAACCAAAAGCCAUAAACCAUUUCAUAAUAAAUAUCAAUAAAUAACAAACAUUUGUACCACCUACAAUGUUUUCUAAUUAUAAUGCAGUUAUAUUAGAAAUGAAUACAAAAAGAAAAUUAAGACAAACAUCACAUACAUUAAAAAUUUUUUAAUUUCACCAAUAGACAUCAAACACAUUUUUGGAAAUUUCCACAGAUAUCAAUAAUAAAUAUUUUAGAGAGUAGAAAUAGUCUUUUUAUUAAAAUAAUUAAAAUGUAAGCAUAUGAAAAGAAAUCAGGAAAUACUAAUUUGUACCUCAGUGAGAUUCCAUCACACACCUAUUAGUAUGACUAAAAUUAAAAAGAGUGAUAAUAUCAAAUGUUGCCAAGUAACAUUUGUGAAGUUGUAAAGUAACUGAAACAGUCAUAUACUGCCUGUGGUCCUAUAAAUCAAACUAUUUAAAAACUUAACAUUACCUAUUCAACUUGAACAUAAACACAUGACCAAAUGAUUCCAUUCCUAAGCACAUACAAAUCUGAAAUUCAGAAGUAUAUCAAAAAAUAUGUAUUAGAAUGUUUACAGAAACAUUAUUCAUAAUUGCCCCACAAAUAAUCAUGUGCUCAUAAACAUCAAAAUGGAUCAAUAAGUUGUGAUUUAUUCAUAUAUUGGACUAUUUUGUGCAAUAAUGGUAUAAGAUACCAGCAGAGUGGUUACCUUCAGAAAAGAGGAACAGUAGCCAUUGGAGAGGGCAUGAAAGGGCUUUUUGGGUAGAGGUACUGUUGCAUUUCUUGAUCAAGGUUGUAUCAACAUGGAUAUGCUUAGUUCAUGAUAAUUAAUUGAGUGUAUAUUUAUGUUUGUGCACCUUCUUUAUGCCUAUUUUAUAUGCUCUUAUAAAAUAUGCCCAUAUUAAAAAUUUGAGAGUAAAUUUUGAGAAUAAAAAUUUGAGAGUAUGGCAGAUCAGCCUAUUGAUCCUUUAUUUUCAUCUAGUUGAGUCUUUUUACUGCCAGUCUCUAUUCCUCCAGAAAAUAUCACAAGCCACAAAAAUACUCUCUUCAGAAAAAUGUUUAUAAAUUGACUUCUGGCAGUAUGUUAGUCUGGUUAUCUAGAAUAACCCUUCAGAUAAAAUAACUCACAAUGGUGAAUUAGAUAUUAAUCAGUAUAUUUUAAAUGCAUUAUUGAUACUUCUACAUCUGUGUAAAAUUGAAUUACUUAUAGCAGACAAAUACUUUAAGAACAAGAAAAAAAAUUCAAUAAAUGCAAAAUUUAUCUCUUAAAAAGUCAUUAGAAAACCACUGAAGAAAUGAGGGCUUGUGGGAUAAAAAUUGUGGACAGUUUUUAUAUCUAUAGUUUGUUAUACAUAAUGUCUAGCAUUCAGUAAAAACUUACUAGACAUGUUGUUAAAUAGGUUUGUAUAACUGAAAACUAAGAAAUAGAUGGAGCUGGAGGUCAUUAUGUUAAAUGAAAUAAUCCAGGAACAGAAGGA